CUUAAUACAUACAUCUUGUGAUCAGACGUGCAUACAUGUUCAUUUUGCAACAUGUGUUCUCGAGUGCCUCGUGCGUUUUGUGCUGUGACCACUAAUCCGGAUGAACGUUCGCCAACAAAACCCAAAACCCGCCAGCUCAAGCAUCAAUUGUGAGAACAGAAUUAGACGCAGCACAAAUAUCAAAAGCUGCAGAUGCAGCAGAAGCUGCUGAAGCUGCAGAAGGGGCAAACGCAUUAACAGCAGCAAAAGCAGCAGCAGCAGAAAAAGCAGCAGAAGCUAUAGCAGCAGCAGCAGCAGCAGCAGUAGCAAAAGCAGCAGAAGCUAUAGCAGCAGCAGCAGCAGCAGCAGUAGCAAAAGCAGCAGAAGCAGCAGCAAAAGCAUCAGCAGUGUUGUGGGCAGCCGUGCCGACCCCUGGACUUGCCGUGGCAGUUGCGCUGCCACCGGUCAACGUCCAGGAGGACGACAGUGUGUCACACACACUGUCGCACACACUAAGCAGCGCAAGGCUUAGUGUGUGCCGAGCGCACAGUUAGAGUGUGUUUGCGAGCCGAUCGAGCAGGAGCUCUCGGCAGGGGCGCUCGGUGCGGCUGGUGUGCGGCCACCGUACUAUUAUAUUUUAGAGUGUAUUGUUUGUUUUCGUUUAUGUUUUAUUUAUUAUGUACUUUGUAUAAAGUGUCUAAAUAAAUACAAAAGAGCAGUUCAUAACAGUGGCGACGAGGAUGGGAUCCUCCUGCGUAAGGGGGAUCCAACAAGAACCCGCGGACGCCAUCGCGAUCGGGCCCAUCUCGUUUUUGCUGCAUCAUCGCAGCGGCCAUCGCGUUGGCACCGGUCCCCGUGCUUGCGGGACACCGCGAACGGUUUGGGUCGCCACCGCCGCCAACACCGAGACCCCCGGCUGCCGUCCCAUCAUUGGCGACCACAUGGGCAGCCGAGCACACACUCUCGGCGACAAGGAAGGUCGUCGGGCUGCAGCCCCAGCAACGCCAGCAGCACCAGAGGUGAGGCACCUUUCCGCCUUGCUGCUGGAACAUCGGAUGGGCGUCACAUCCGCCCAUGCUGCAGCCCCAGCUUCAUCGGGCGAGGACGCAUUCCGCCCAGCUGCAGCAGCAGCAGUGCAAGCAUCCUUCGGCGACGAGCAAUACCGCCCCGGCUCGAGCUCAGCACAUCAUCGGCGAGGCAGCAAUUCCGCCGCGGCUCGAGCCCUGCCUCUCACCACGGCGACGUACCAUUCCGCCUCGGCAGCACAACAGGAUCGGCAACGCACAAGUUGCAUCGGCUGCAACACAGCAGCACACAUCGGCGCGAACGCUUUCGCCCUGGCUGUAGUUGAACAGGCGUCGCCAAUUGCGCCUCGGCUACAGCCACAGUGUCCAGAGGGGACGAGGUAGCAUAUAAGAACUGUCAAAUUAAGAAAAUCUAAAGAAAAUUAAAUUAAGAUAAGCUAAAAAGCGCGAUUGCAAGGACUCGUGCGAGCUCGCAAACUGCUCGAAGUUGCUUGCGGGGUUUUAACACCAGUGUAAGCUGCACUUAACACCGAGUGUCAAAGCGCUGUAUACAACGACAACAAUACUGCUCUUGGCAUGGGAUUAGGAAAUUGGUUAUAAAAUAAGUUUAGUGCAACUUCUGAAAAUGAUGUGAGUCUUAAAACCUAUUCUCAUAUCACCAUAAGGUGUGUGCAAAGUUUCGUUGAAAAUAAUCCAGCCGUUUCGGAGCUUGCUCGCAACAAACACCGUGACACGAGAUUUUUAUAGAUAUAGAUAGAUUAGAACCGAGGAGAAAUGCUUUUCAGUCGUGAAAGAUCAAACUUUCAUACAAAAUGGAUGACCUGCCCAUGAAUGAAACAUUUGCUCAAACAUUAUUAAUCAUUUCGUUCUAUUACAGGUGAGAACAGAAUUAGACGCAGCACAAAUAUCAAAAGCUGCAGAUGCAGCAGAAGCUGCUGAAGCUCCAGAAGCGGCAAACGCAUUAGCAGCAGCAGCAGCAGCAGCAGUAGCAAAAGCAGCAGAAGCUAUAGCAGCAGCAGCAGCAGCAGCAGUAGCAAAAGCAGCAGAAGCAGCAGCAAAAGCAUCAGCAGUGUUGUGGGCAGCCGUGCCGACCCCUGGACUUGCCGUGGCAGUUGCGCUGCCACCGGUCAACGUCCAGGAGGACGACAGUGUGUCACACACACUGUCGCACACACUAAGCAGCGCAAGGCUUAGUGUGUGCCGAGCGCACAGUUAGAGUGUGUUAGUGAGCCGAUCGAGCAGGAGCUCUCGGCAGGGGCGCUCGGUGCGGCUGGUGCGCGGCCACCGCACUUGUUAUUUUAAAGUGUGUUGUAUCAGUUAUGUAUCGUGUUUUAUUAUUUAUUUUAUAUGUUGUUAAUACGUGUAAUAAAGUAGUGCAAGGUCCAAACACAACACUAAUUUUCGUGUAAUUUUGCAAGUAGGGGGUGGUUUUAGUCACUUUAUGAAUUAUUUGAUAUGAUUCUGACUAAAUAUAACAGUUUCAAAGCUUUUGGAAUAGUUUUUAACAUUCGAUCAAAACGGACAUUAUUUGGCAACUUACAAUUGAUGUGUCAAAUCAGUACAAUUUGCUCAAAGAAUUGUCAAAUUUAGAAAACCGCGUAUCUUCGAAUCCGCGUAUAAGAGUUACCGUGCAUCUCGGGGACCGCCUGUACAUUAUCCUUGAUUCCACACUAACACGGCUGCCAAUUCUUUUAAAUGAACCUCGCACGUCGAAAUAUCAUCUGAAUUUUUAUCGGGGUGACUGUAAGUGCCUACCAAAUCACACUCAAGUAAGUGCCUACUUUUUGCACAUCACGAGCACGAGCACACAACACCGCGUUGUUUUGUUUUAAUGUUCUGACUGACAGGUCGAUUGGAGAGAAAGAAUUGCUGCAUUUUCAGCAAUUUGUUUUACUGAUAAUCAGUGAAACGACUAAUUUGACAUUGAUUAUACUGAUUUUCAGAAAAAUAUGUAUUACUGAAAUGCAUUCAGUAAAUUGUUUUUUUCCGAAAAUCAGUACAAACAUAUAAUUUAUGCUGAAAAUCAGUAUAAUAUUCUUUUACUGAACCGUUUUAGUAAAAAACUUUACUGAAGCAAGAUGAGAAAAUUUGCUGUGUAUAUGUAAACAAAUCAAUGAUUUUCCUUUUUUGCAAGCUUUCCUCCAAACAGAAUGACCCAUUCUAUAAUAAUAGAAGAAAGAUUGCCGAAGCAUGGAGGGAAAUAGCCAGGCAUCUGGCGACCACCGUGGCCAGAUGCCAGAAAGUUUGGCACCAGCUCCGGUACAAGUACCGUGCGAUCAGGGUACGUGAGCUGGCAGCGGUCAAAAGAAAUGGAUGCAAAUCCCGUUGCGCCUCCUAAGUGGCACUGUUACAGGCCAAUGAGUUUUCUGUGGGAAUAUGUAGAUGUGUCGCUGAGAGCGAAUGGUGUAGUAUGAAGAUAGAACGUUCAUAAACAAAUGUGAUGGGGCCUCCAAUUGCCUCUUCUACGCGGCGACCCACAGCAGAAUAGGAGAGCGCCGCAGCGGAGAGAAGGCAAGAGAUUGCAUUUGGAGGCGCCCAUUUUGAACGAAUCUGCUGAUGCCGAGUGAGGGUAAGGAAUGCACAUAUUUGAUACAGGGUUUUUCAAUUAAGUUUAGACUAGCGGCAUACUUUUUUUUUGAAUCGUCGCAAUAGGUCUCACUAUAGAGCAGGGGUCUCCAAACUACGGCUCGCGGGCCGCAUGCGGCUCUCAAGAGCUUAUAAUGCGGCCCACGAUGACUUUGCCAGAGUUCAUAAAAAUAUUACGUUAUUAUGAAUUUUUAAAAUUAACAUUUAUGUUUUACUUUUCUUAGACAAAAAUCAAGCUUUAGUAACACGAAACUGUACAAGUAUCGUUGGUAUUUUAUUAUAAAAACGAGAUUUAAACGUUCACUCAUCAGUUAAAGGUAGCGUCAAAUGGCCCUCAACAUAGUUAUUUUUGAAGCAAUGCGGCCCGCGAGCUGAAAAGUUUGGAGGUUCCUGCUAUAGAGCGUUACUUUUUCAUUCUAUAGUGAGACGAUGUUGGCGAAUGAGUUGUUGUUAGGAAUGGAUAACUUGGAUAAUGUUUGUACCUUUGGUCCUGUACAAAGUGUAUGAGAACCAGGUGGUUUCAAAGGCUGUUUUUUAUGACAAAAUUUUAACGUCAUUUUUUGACAGAAUGGGUGAAAACUUUUCCUCCAACAAGCUUUCUGGCGACUUGCAGAAUAUACAAACAAUGGGAGCCUUCACGAUUCUAGUUAGUUUUUUGUAUGGAGUUUGACAGUUGGAGGCUGAAAUCAUGUAAACAAUCCAUACAAAACCACACAAAAAACUAGCCUGCGAUUUUCAGUCUAGAAAAUUUUAGCCUAAAAGCUAGAAUUAGAUUCGAGUACCUGCUCGAAAACACGGGUUUGUUUACAUUUAUC
Molecule: long non-coding RNA, 4405 nt
Organism: Anopheles gambiae (African malaria mosquito)
Lineage: Eukaryota; Metazoa; Arthropoda; Insecta; Diptera; Culicidae
Exons: 5
Source: RefSeq, a predicted model, not a curated record